GAUCCAAUAUGUCGGUGGAACAUCGUGUGCGAAGAGAGUCCCGAACGGAAUCCAGCAGGGGGCGGGCGCCCAGGUCACUAGGGCGGGCGCCCUGGGCCUGGCCGCUUUCGGCCUCUGCUUCGUUCUCGUGGCUUCUAGAGUCUUCUAGAUGGUAGAAAAUUGCGCGGUGCGUUGAUAUCUCUAUGUAAUCCCGACAUGUGGGCCUUUCUUCCUUAUUUCCUGAUAACCCCCUGCAGAAACAGAUAAACAACAAAACUCGUGGAAUUCUGU
Molecule: long non-coding RNA, 270 nt
Filed under: Sorghum bicolor (sorghum)
Lineage: Eukaryota; Viridiplantae; Streptophyta; Magnoliopsida; Poales; Poaceae
Description: long non-coding RNA (SBIC_LNC000695)
Source: RNAcentral